UCAAGUUUAUUGUAGCCAUCUGUAAAACUUCCUUCUAGUUUUUCUAAAAUCUCUAUUUUAGCCCUCUUACACUUUCUAUAACUGACAUUUGUAUUAAACACAUUUUUUAUAUCUGUUCUCAUCUCUUUAAUCUUAUACAUAGGGUUAUCUUGCAACUUUUUCUUGAAAUAAAGUGCAUAUUUUUCAAGCUUUGCUCGAGGCUCUUCAUUCUUUUUGCCAUUUCAUCUUGUUUAAGAGCUUUGGGAUUCUGGUCUUGCCCAGAUUAAUCUC
Molecule: long non-coding RNA, 270 nt
Filed under: Nicotiana benthamiana
Lineage: Eukaryota; Viridiplantae; Streptophyta; Magnoliopsida; Solanales; Solanaceae
Description: long non-coding RNA (NBEN_LNC030777)
Source: RNAcentral